CUAUUCUCAAGUUACUCCCAGUGGGACUGAUCUCCCCGUUGCCUGAAAAACUAUGGGACUCACAACUACUUCUCCAUCACCGUAUCUGCCUGUGUGCCACCAUGCUACCCAUCAUGAUGAUGAUGGACAGAACCUCUGAAACUAUACCAUGCUCCAUCUUCCCUGGGCAUUGAAUGAGGAUUCACAACAGCAAGUCUCUAGAGAUCUUGGCCUUCAGCCUCAGAUGUGUUUGCAUCAUUGGUCCCUUUGUUCCGAGGCUCCCAACUUCUUGGGCUGAAUAGCUAUGGCUUCAUCUUGCUUCCUGUAGAUGGCCAUUGGAGUAUUCAGGGUUCUCUAGAGCCUAGCUUCUUAAACUGUGGUUUAACAUUCCAUAUGGGCUCACAUAACUCAGGAGGGGGUCACAAAACAUUGACAAUGGUAAAAGUUUUC
Molecule: long non-coding RNA, 429 nt
Filed under: Cricetulus griseus (Chinese hamster)
Lineage: Eukaryota; Metazoa; Chordata; Mammalia; Rodentia; Cricetidae
Description: lncRNA (ENSCGRG00015039305.1)
Source: RNAcentral